UAGGGAAUCUUCGGCAAUGGACGAAAGUCUGACCGAGCAACGCCGCGUGAGUGAAGAAGGUUUUCGGAUCGUAAAACUCUGUUGUUAGAGAAGAACAAGGACGUUAGUAACUGAACGUCCCCUGACGGUAUCUAACCAGAAAGCCACGGCUAACUACGUGCCAGCAGCCGCGGUAAUACGUAGGUGGCAUGCGUUGUCCGGAUUUAUUGGGCGUAAAGCGAGCGCAGGCGGUUUCUUAAGUCUGAUGUGAAAGCCCCCGGCUCAACCGGGGAGGGUCAUUGGAAACUGGGAGACUUGAGUGCGGAAGAGGAGAGUGGAAUUCCGUGUGUAGCGGUGAAAUGCGUAGAUAAAUGGAGGAACACCAGUGGCAAAGGCGGCUCUAUGGACUGUAACAGACGCUGAGGCUCGAAAGCGAGGGGAGCAAACAGG
This 429-nucleotide ribosomal RNA is filed under the name Gemmatimonadota bacterium. RNAcentral describes it as "Gemmatimonadetes bacterium partial 16S ribosomal RNA". It matches the Rfam family "Bacterial small subunit ribosomal RNA", at positions 355 to 776 of the family's 1533-position model. Lineage: Bacteria; Pseudomonadati; Gemmatimonadota. The record is from RNAcentral.